RNAcentral lists this ribosomal RNA (368 nucleotides) under marine sediment bacterium BB0608_AND_9.2_4S0. Its description in RNAcentral is "bacterial SSU rRNA". It matches the Rfam family "Bacterial small subunit ribosomal RNA", at positions 104 to 507 of the family's 1533-position model. The record is from RNAcentral.
GGGUGAGUAACGCGUGGGGACCUACCUCUUAGUGGGGGAUAACGGUUGGAAACGACCGCUAAUACCGCAUACGCCCUUCGGGGGAAAGAUUUAUCGCUAAGAGAUGGACCCGCGUUGGAUUAGAUAGUUGGGGAGGUAACGGCUCACCAAGUCAGCGAUCCAUAGCUGGUUUGAGAGGAUGAUCAGCCACACUGGGACUGAGACACGGCCCAAACUCCUACGGGAGGCAACAGUGGGGAAUAUUGGACAAUGGGGGCAACCCUGAUCCAGCCAUGCCGCGUGAGUGAAGAAGGCCUUCGGGUUGUAAAGCUCUUUCAGAUGCGAAGAUGAUGACGGUAACAUCAGAAGAAGCCCCGGCUAAUUUCGUG